CCUACGGGUGGCUGCAGUGGGGAAUAUUGCACAAUGGGCGCAAGCCUGAUGCAGCCAUGCCGCGUGUGUGAAGAAGGCCUUCGGGUUGUAAAGCACUUUCAGCGGGGAGGAAGGCGGUGAGGUUAAUAACCUCAUCGAUUGACGUUACCCGCAGAAGAAGCACCGGCUAACUCCGUGCCAGCAGCCGCGGUAAUACGGAGGGUGCAAGCGUUAAUCGGAAUUACUGGGCGUAAAGCGCACGCAGGCGGUCUGUCAAGUCGGAUGUGAAAUCCCCGGGCUCAACCGGGGAACUGCAUUCGAAACUGGCAGGCUAGAGUCUUGUAGAGGGGGGUAGAAUUCCAGGUGUAGCGGUGAAAUGCGUAGAGAUCUGGAGGAAUACCGGUGGCGAAGGCGGCCCCCUGGACAAAGACUGACGCUCAGGUGCGAAAGCGUGGGGAGCAAACAGGAUUAGAUACCCGAGUAGUC
RNAcentral lists this ribosomal RNA (465 nucleotides) under uncultured Klebsiella sp. RNAcentral describes it as "bacterial SSU rRNA". It matches the Rfam family "Bacterial small subunit ribosomal RNA", at positions 338 to 795 of the family's 1533-position model. Lineage: Bacteria; Pseudomonadati; Pseudomonadota; Gammaproteobacteria; Enterobacterales; Enterobacteriaceae. The record is from RNAcentral.